RNAcentral lists this ribosomal RNA (388 nucleotides) under uncultured bacterium. Its description in RNAcentral is "bacterial SSU rRNA". It matches the Rfam family "Bacterial small subunit ribosomal RNA", at positions 29 to 417 of the family's 1533-position model. The record is from RNAcentral.
AUUAAACGCUGGCGGCAUGCCUUACACAUGCAAGUCGAACGGCAGCACGGGGGCAACCCUGGUGGCGAGUGGCGGACGGGUGAGUAAAGCAUCGGAACGUAUCCUGGAGUGGGGGGAUAACGUAGCGAAAGUUACGCUAAUACCGCAUAUUCUGUGAGCAGGAAAGCAGGGGAUCGCAAGACCUUGCGCUCUGGGAGCGGCCGAUGUCGGAUUAGCUAGUUGGUGGGGUAAAGGCCUACCAAGGCGACGAUCCGUAGCGGGUCUGAGAGGAUGAUCCGCCACACUGGGACUGAGACACGGCCCAGACUCCUACGGGAGGCAGCAGUGGGGAAUUUUGGACAAUGGGCGGAAGCCUGAUCCAGCCAUGCCGCGUGAGUGAAGAAGGCCU